RNAcentral lists this ribosomal RNA (403 nucleotides) under uncultured bacterium. RNAcentral describes it as "bacterial SSU rRNA". It matches the Rfam family "Bacterial small subunit ribosomal RNA", at positions 355 to 775 of the family's 1533-position model. The record is from RNAcentral.
UGGGGAAUAUUGGACAAUGGGGGCAACCCUGAUCUAGCAAUGCCGCGUGGAUGAUGAAGGCCUUCGGGUUGUAAAGUCCUUUCGGCGGGGAAGAUGAUGACGGUACCCGCAGAAGAAGCCCCGGCUAACUUCGUGCCAGCAGCCGCGGUAAUACGAAGGGGGCUAGCGUUGUUCGGAAUUACUGGGCGUAAAGGGCGCGUAGGCUGUGCUGUAAGUCAGGCGUGAAAGCCCCGGGCUCAACCUGGGAAUUGCGCUUGAUACUGCGGCGCUGGAAGGUGGGAGAGGAUGGCGGAAUUCCCAGUGUAGAGGUGAAAUUCGUAGAUAUUGGGAAGAACACCGGUGGCGAAGGCGGCCAUCUGGCCCAUUUUUGACGCUGAGGCGCGAAAGCGUGGGGAGCAAACAG